AGAAUGACAGCCAUGUGAAAUGUACCUCCCAAGAUUACUUUGGAAAAUACCCCACCUCAGUAUCUACAACAGGACUGUGUUCUUACAGCAACCCAGUUGCUCACUCUGGCAAGGUCUCAGUUGAAGGAACAAGACUAGAGUACAGAAGAAAGCCUAUUCUAUUUAUUGCACCUGGCCCAGUUCAUUUUGUUCUCCAAGAAAAAGUGACUUGGGCCUAGACAAGAGCAACUUCCUCUGAAAAUCAGCAUGUAAUUUCUUCAGGACUCAAACUACGAUGUGGGAAAUCCAGCUUGCCCAUAAAGGGGCAACGAAUGGAAGAGAAUGCCCUUGAGGAAUCCUGCAGGCAGAAAGCCAAGGAUCCCAUAGCUCCUCUCACGCAAAAGGCCACGAGGUGCUGCUGGUGCUGCUUGCUCUGAUGCAGUCAGCACUGCCAGUGCCAACAUUCUCCUAAUCCUGAUACCUGCUGUAGUAAAGUGGCAGGGCUGACAAGGGGCUGGAGCAGCUGCUCUCAUGCAGCACUGAUCCUGCUGUUCUGCAUUGCUGGGUGAGGCAGAAGUCUGGCCAUGAG
Passer domesticus (house sparrow) is the source of this 568-nucleotide long non-coding RNA. RefSeq lists it as uncharacterized. The record is from RefSeq and is a predicted model, not a curated record. NCBI's taxonomy places the organism in Eukaryota, Metazoa, Chordata, Aves, Passeriformes, Passeridae. The transcript is spliced from 5 exons.